This is a small nucleolar RNA of Nannospalax galili (Upper Galilee mountains blind mole rat), 127 nucleotides long. The record is from Ensembl. Lineage: Eukaryota; Metazoa; Chordata; Mammalia; Rodentia; Spalacidae.
AGCCUCAUCCUACAUGAGAAUAUGCACUGUCAGUGUCCAGAAUUGGUCAAUGUGGCUGAUUUGAGAGAGGUUAUGCUUCCAUCACAAUAAGUGCAUUGCAGCAGUGACAAUGAGACUUGUAACAUUU